GAAUGGCGUAGCUCAGUUGGUUAGAGCGGCUUCCUAAUACGAGAUAGCAGUCGUAUGGGUGGAGAACAGCUUAGACACCACUCGCGCAGGUUCAAGUCCUGCCGUAUUCA
RNAcentral lists this transfer RNA (110 nucleotides) under Acinetobacter pseudolwoffii. RNAcentral describes it as "tRNA-OTHER". It matches the Rfam family "tRNA". Rfam says of the family: Transfer RNA (tRNA) molecules are approximately 80 nucleotides in length. The record is from RNAcentral. Lineage: Bacteria; Pseudomonadati; Pseudomonadota; Gammaproteobacteria; Moraxellales; Moraxellaceae.